UGGGGAAUAUUGGACAAUGGGGGGAACCCUGAUCCAGCCAUGCCGCGUGUGUGAAGAAGGCCUUAUGGUUGUAAAGCACUUUAAGCGAGGAGGAGGGUACUGGUAUUAAUACUACCAGCUACUGGACGUUACUCGCAGAAUAAGCACCGGCUAACUCUGUGCCAGCAGCCGCGGUAAUACAGAGGGUGCAAGCGUUAAUCGGAUUUACUGGGCGUAAAGCGUGCGUAGGCGGCUAAUUGAGUCGGAUGUGAAAUCCCCGAGCUUAACUUGGGAAUUGCAUUCGAUACUGGUUAGCUAGAGUGUGGGAGAGGAUGGUAGAAUUCCAGGUGUAGCGGUGAAAUGCGUAGAGAUCUGGAGGAAUACCGAUGGCGAAGGCAGCCAUCUGGCCUAACACUGACGCUGAGGUACGAAAGCAUGGGGAGCAAACAGG
Molecule: ribosomal RNA, 430 nt
Filed under: Pseudomonadota bacterium
Lineage: Bacteria; Pseudomonadati; Pseudomonadota
Description: Proteobacteria bacterium partial 16S ribosomal RNA
Rfam family: Bacterial small subunit ribosomal RNA
Source: RNAcentral